This 2769-nucleotide ribosomal RNA is filed under the name human gut metagenome. RNAcentral describes it as "bacterial LSU rRNA". It matches the Rfam family "Bacterial large subunit ribosomal RNA". The record is from RNAcentral.
AGAGCGCAGGGCGGAUGCCUUGGCACCGUAAGCCGAUGAAGGACGUGACAAGCUGCGAAAAGCUGCGGAGAGGAGCAAAUAUCCAAUGAUCCGCAGAUAUCCGAAUGGGGAAACCUGGCCGGGGUAAAUGCCCGGUCGACCGUACAUGAAUUCAUAGUGUGCGGCUGGGAACGACGUGAAUUGAAACAUCUUAGUAGCGUCAGGAAAAGAAAUCAAACGAGAUUCCGCUAGUAGUGGCGAGCGAAUGCGGAAGAGGCCAAACCGCAAAACUUCGGUUUUGCGGGGUUAAGGACCAUCGGAAGGGUGAAACUUGUUAGCAGAAUGAGCUGCUGGAAAGCAGAGUCCAAAGAGCGUAAAAGUCGCGUAUGCGAAAACGAGAGAAGCCCGGAUGGCACCAGAGUACCACGAGACACGAGAAACCUUGUGGGAAGUCGGGGGGACCACCCUCCAAGCCUAAACACUUACGGUGACCGAUAGUGAAGCAGUACUGUGAAGGAAAGGUGAAAAGAACCCCGGGAGGGGAGUGAAAGAGAACCUGAAACCCUGUGUUUACAAGCAGUCGAAGAGCGUUAAGGCUCGACGGCGUACUUUUUGUAGAACGGUCCGACGAGUUGCGGUAUGUGGCAAGGUUAAGCACUGGAGGUGCGGAGCCGAAGCGAAAGCGAGUUUUAAUAGAGCGAGAAGUCACAUGCUGCAGACCCGAAACCGGGUGACCUAUCCAUGAGCAGGUUGAAAGCGAGGUAAAACUCGCCGGAGGACCGAACUCGUAUCUGUUGAAAAAGGUUGAGAUGACUUGUGGAUAGCGGAGAAAUUCCAAUCGAACCCGGAGAUAGCUGGUUCUCCCCGAAAUAGCUUUAGGGCUAGCCUCGCAGAGAGUCUACCGGAGGUAGAGCACUGAAUGGUCUAGGGGCCUUACCAGGUUACCGAAACUUAUCAAACUCCAAAUGCCGGCAAGAUAGCUGCGGGAGUCAGUCCAUGACAGAUAAGUGCCAUGGACAAAAGGGAAACAGCCCAGACCGCCAGCUAAGGUCCCCAAAUGUUCGUUAAGUGGAAAAGGAUGUGGAUUUGCAAAAACAGCCAGGAUGUUGGCUCAGAAGCAGCCACUCAUUUAAAGAGUGCGUAACAGCUCACUGGUCGAGUGAGUCUGCGCCGAAGAUAUACGGGGCUAAACGAACUACCGAAGCUGCGGAAUUCCAAUGGGAUUGGUAGGGGAGCGUACCCCAGGGAGCAGAAGCACGAUCGAAAGGACGUGUGGAUCCAAGGGUAGUGAGAAUGUCGGAAUAAGUAACGAGAGCAAGGUGAGAAUCCUUGCCGUCGAAAAUCCAAGGUUUCCUGGGGAAGGUUCGUCCGCCCAGGGUAAGUCGGGACCUAAGGUCAGGCCUAAAGGCGUAGCCGAUGGAGAACAGGUUGAAAGUCCUGUACCGCCGGUUCAUGUUUGACAGAAGCAGGGACGCAGGAGGAUAACUGGAGCACGCGACAGGAAGAGCGUGUCUAAGCAGAGUAGCGGUCUGGUAGUAAAGCACGCCAGGCAACGCGAAGCUGUGAUGGGGAGGGAAAAUUCCAAAGUACCGAAGCCAGUCAUUCCACACUGACGAGAAAAGCUGCUAUGGAGUGGACAGGCGCCCGUACCGCAAACCGACACAGGUAGAUGAGGAGAGAAUCCUAAGACGAGCGGGCUAAGCAUUGUUAAGGAACUCGGCAAAUUAACCCCGUAAGUUCGCAAGAAGGGGCGCCUGCUGAAAGGCAGGCCGCAGUGAAAUGGCCCGAGCAACUGUUUAGCAAAAACACAGGCUUCCGCGAAAUCGAAAGAUGAAGUAUGGGGGCUGACGCCUGCCCGGUGCACGGCGGCCGUAACUAUAACGGUCCUAAGGUAGCGAAAUUCCUUGUCAGGUAAGUUCUGACCCGCACGAAUGGCGUAAUGACUUGGGCACUGUCUCAACAAUGCACCCGGUGAAAUUGUAGUACUUGUGAAGAUGCAAGUUACCCGCGAUGGGACGGAGAGACCCCAUGGAGCUUCACUGUAGAUUGUUACUGGGACUCGGUAUUGUCUGUACAGGAUAGGUGGGAGACUAAGAAGCAUUGGCGUCAGCUGGUGUGGAGUCAACCUUGGAAUACCACUCUGACAGUACUGAUUCUCUAACCAGAGUCCGUAAACCGGACAUGGGACAAUGGCAGUCGGGCAGUUUGACUGGGGCGGUCGCCUCCUAAAAAGUAACGGAGGCGUUCAAAGGUCACCUCAGCACGGUCGGAAAUCGUGCAUUGAGUGCAAAGGCAUAAGGUGGCUUAACUGCGAGACCGACAAGUCGAGCAGAUGCGAAAGCAGGACUUAGUGAUCCGGCGGUAGAAAGUGGAAUUGCCGUCGCUCAACGGACAAAAGUUACCCUGGGGAUAACAGGCUUAUUCCCCCCAAGAGUUCACAUCGACGGGGGAGUUUGGCACCUCGAUGUCGGCUCAUCACAUCCUGGGGCUGUAGCAGGUCCCAAGGGUUCGGCUGUUCGCCGAUUAAAGUGGUACGCGAGCUGGGUUCAGAACGUCGUGAGACAGUUCGGUCCCUAUCUAUCGUGGGCGCAGGAAAUUUGCGAGGAGCUGUCCCUAGUACGAGAGGACCGGGAUGGACAAACCUAUGGUGAACCGGUUGUCACGCCAGUGGCACCGCCGGGUAGCUAAGUUUGGCUGGGAUAAACGCUGAAAGCAUCUAAGUGUGAAGCCCCCCUCAAGAUGAGAUUUCCCCACGUAAGUGAUAAGACCCCUUCAAGACCAGGAGGUUGA